Non-coding RNA from Phascolarctobacterium sp. CAG:266, 100 nucleotides. It matches the Rfam family "Bacterial small signal recognition particle RNA". From Rfam's summary of the family: The signal recognition particle (SRP) is a universally conserved ribonucleoprotein involved in the co-translational targeting of proteins to membranes. The record is from Rfam. Lineage: Bacteria; Bacillati; Bacillota; Negativicutes; Acidaminococcales; Acidaminococcaceae.
UGGCGGGUCCUGCGCAAUGAAAGCCUGUGAACCGUGUCAGGACCGGGAGGGAGCAGCACUAAGCAGUUACUUGCAUGUGCCGCAGGGGUGCCUGCAUUUG